RNAcentral lists this ribosomal RNA (186 nucleotides) under uncultured marine bacterium. RNAcentral's name for it is "partial 16S ribosomal RNA". It matches the Rfam family "Bacterial small subunit ribosomal RNA", at positions 339 to 524 of the family's 1533-position model. The record is from RNAcentral.
CUACGGGAGGCAGCAGUGAGGAAUAUUGGACAAUGGACGAAAGUCUGAUCCAGCUAUGCCGCGUGCAGGAUGACGGCCCUAUGGGUUGUAAACUGCUUUUAUACAGGAAGAAAAAUCCGACGUUCGGAACUUGACGGUACUGUAAGAAUAAGGAUCGGCUAACUCCGUGCCAGCAGCCGCGGUAAU